Molecule: ribosomal RNA, 468 nt
Filed under: uncultured bacterium
Lineage: Bacteria
Description: partial 16S ribosomal RNA
Rfam family: Bacterial small subunit ribosomal RNA
Source: RNAcentral
GACGAACGCUGGCGGCGUGCUUAACACAUGCAAGUCGAACGGAAAGGCCCUGCUUUUGUGGGGUGCUCGAGUGGCGAACGGGUGAGUAACACGUGAGUAACCUGCCCUUGACUUUGGGAUAACUUCAGGAAACUGGGGCUAAUACCGGAUAGGAGCUCCUGCUGCAUGGUGGGGGUUGGAAAGUUUCGGCGGUUGGGGAUGGACUCGCGGCUUAUCAGCUUGUUGGUGGGGUAGUGGCUUACCAAGGCUUUGACGGGUAGCCGGCCUGAGAGGGUGACCGGCGACAUUGGGACUGAGAUACGGCCCAGACUCCUACGGGAGGCAGCAGUGGGGAAUAUUGCACAAUGGGCGGAAGCCUGAGGCAGCAACGCCGCGUGCGGGAUGACGGCCUUCGGGUUGUAAACCGCUGUCGCCUGUGACGAAGCGUGAGUGACGGUAAUGGGUAAAGAAGCACCGGCUAACUACGUG